AACGAACGGCUGGCGGCAGGCUUAACACAUGCAAGUCGAACGCCCGCAAGGGGAGUGGCAGACGGGUGAGUAACGCGUGGGAAUCUACCCAGUUCUACGGAACAACUGAGGGAAACUUCAGCUAAUACCGUAUACGCCCUACGGGGGAAAGAUUUAUCGGAAUUGGAUGAGCCCGCGUUGGAUUAGCUAGUUGGUGAGGUAACGGCUCACCAAGGCGACGAUCCAUAGCUGGUCUGAGAGGAUGAUCAGCCACACUGGGACUGAGACACGGCCCAGACUCCUACGGGAGGCAGCAGUGGGGAAUAUUGGACAAUGGGCGCAAGCCUGAUCCAGCCAUGCCGCGUGAGUGAUGAAGGCCUUAGGGUUGUAAAGCUCUUUCAGUGGGGACGAUAAUGACGGUACCCACAGAAGAAGCCCCGGCUAACUUCGUG
RNAcentral lists this ribosomal RNA (431 nucleotides) under uncultured bacterium. Its description in RNAcentral is "bacterial SSU rRNA". It matches the Rfam family "Bacterial small subunit ribosomal RNA", at positions 35 to 507 of the family's 1533-position model. The record is from RNAcentral.